UUUUGAACAUGGGAUGAAUGAGAGAGUUUGUAGCAACCUAGCAUGGUGCUGUCAUGGAACCUGCAUUUGUGGAAUCUGAACAUCUGGAAAUCACUCUAGGUGAACUCUGGUAUGGUGAGAUCAUAACAAGAGUUUCUUCAUUUGAGCCUGGAGUUCUUUCUCGAUGCUUAGACACUUCCAUUCCAUACAUUUUAUUAGUUGGCACAGCACAAAACCAACCAUGGUGGCUCUAUGUUAGGAGGUGGAAGUUGUGCAUGCCAUUGCUGUCUUUAAUGAUUUCCUGACCGAAUUCACAUCGAACUUUCCUUGAAUCCUUCAAUCCAAAUUAGUUAUUACAUCACCAUUCUGGAACUCAGGAUUCACCCACUCCACGAUGUGGACAAGAUCAUCACUUUCUAUGAUUGCAGCCUUGCAGGUUGGCCGGUAAAACUCUAAAAUUCAACCUUUGAUAAUUAUAGUACCUGCAGACAAUAAAAAGCAAUCAUAAAUAAACCACACUGGUCAUACAUUUGUAUUUAUAACAUGAUAAACAAUCUAAUAGAACACGGAAAUUUGAACAUACUUGCGAUCAAGAUAACCCGCUCCGCCCAUGAUCAAUGUCAACACAGAGGUCCCAUUAUCACUGGAAAAAACCAUGGACAGACCAAAACCUGCUCUUUUCGCGUCCAAGUUUUCGUUGUACUGUGCUUGCUCUCCUCUCUUAAUGCAAUUCUCCUAUUGGAUUCCCUUCUUGAGUGUAGCUGGAAUACAAAUCCAAUUUAUCUGUGAUUAACGUAUUCUAGAUAACUCGACAUGAUUUUAUUCAAGGAUGAAAGAUUGUAGAAAGAAGGUGCAUAUUGACUCAACAGAUUACCUUACACAAAAUUGGUCUCAUAAAAGUGUAUCUGCAUCAUAACACCAUGUGGAACAUGUCUUAGAACAUAUUCGAAUGCACAUUGGACGUUAUAACAUAUACAGAAUGACCACGGAUUCGUAAACAGUUGCAAAUGUACUUCUAUUUACUCAUAUUUAAGGAUUAAAAAACUUAAUUUCCACAAAAGUCUAAAGUGCUGUUCCAAAAAGAUUGUGAAAGCAAAGAAAUUAAUGUUCUUCCACGAGGCUAGAAAGUGUAAGACUUUGCAAACUAAAUGCAACUAAGACAAAAGAACAGAACCAAUCACGAAUUACUGUUUCGGGAAAGAAACCUACACUUGACUGUAGGAAAUGCGGGAAAUCUUGGGCCAGUCGAGAAGUUGCUUCUUUUAAUUUAGAACACAACAGUAAAAUUUGGACUGGCUUCCCUACUGUCGAUAGAUACUUCAGGUUCCCACAACGGUAAGUAGAUAGAUCGUCGACACAUGAAAGGUUCCGUCAUCACUCUGGUAAGACCCUUCUGAGUGCCAUUGUUGAUAGUAUUAGUAAUGAUCCAAGUAUUGCAACAACAAUAUUCUUCUUGAGCUUGCUUGAAUCUGAUUUAAAAAUAACUUAUCAGCAGAUAGAAAAUAUAAAUUCUGAAGGACGCAAUGCCAUUCGCUUUCGUUAAAGGAAAUGCUAACCUAUUGGGCACUCUCCAUGAACAAACUUGCACAGAGCAGUAGGACAAGGAAACCAGUUGAGAUCUUCAUCUCUCUGUCUCAUUGCAGCCUAUGAACUACCAGGUAUUUAAAACGCGUGACAAUGUCCCGACCAAAAAAACAGAAAAACGUAUGAGUGUGGAUUUGUAACCUCAUGCUGCACAAUGAUCCUUAUUACAUGGGGAUGCUUAGUGUACGUCAAUCAAUGGAUAAUGCAAUGUUUUUUUCUUUUUUUUGGAAACGUGGAUAAUGCAAUGUUCAUACUAGAGCAAUUUGGUCAAGCCAACGUAUUUUCUAGUCAAAGCAUUUCAAACAAUGUUCCUGUUAGGGUUAUGUGCUGUGAUACAACUCGAAGUAUUGGUCAAAAGUGAUUAAGUUGAGGACAAUAUAGAUACAUACUAGUAUGUAGCCUACACUGAUUCACUGCACAACAGAUCCCACACCCAGUUUUAGCCCACCAAGUUUUGAACAUGGGAUGAAUGAGAGUUUGUAGCUACCUAGCAUGGUGCAGUCAUGGAACCUGCAUUUGUGGAAUCUGAACAUCUGGAAAUCACUCUAGGUGUACUAUGGUAUGAUGAAAUCGUACAAAACCCAUGCUGCAGUCAUGGAACCUCCAUUUCCAAACGUUGUGUUAGUUGACACGACACAGCAAAAAACCCAUGCUGCAGACCAAAAAAAAAGUAAUCAUUAACCACUAACUGUUCUUACAUUUGUAUUCAUAACAUGAUAAAAAAUCUAAUAGAACAAGGAAAUUUGAACAUACUCUAGAUCAAGAUAACCCGCUGUGCCCAUGACUGAUGUCACCACACGAGUCCCAUUAUCACUGGAAAAAACCAUGGACAUACUGAAAUCUGCUAUUUUCGCGUCCAAGUUUUCAUUGCGCUGGGAUUGCCUCCUCUCUUAAUGCAAUUCUCUUACUGGAUUCCCUUCUUAAAUAGGCUGAAAUACAAAUCCAUUUCAUCAUUGAUUAACGUAUUUUACAUAACUUGACGUGCUUUUAUUCGAGGAUGAAAGAUGGAAGAAAGAAGUUACAUAUUAACUAAACAGAUUACCUUCCAUAAAAUUGGUCUAAUAAAACUGUGUUAGUUUGGUGAUCAGAUUACCCUGUACAAAAGUGUAUCUGCACCAUAACAAUCAAAUGGACCUAAGACAAGAGAACAGAACAUAUCGUUAAUGACUGUUUCGGGAAAGAAACCUACACUUGACUGUCGGAAAUGUGAGAAAGGUUGCAUUUUCUUUAAAUUUAGAACGCCACAGAAAAAAUUGCACCGGCUUCCCCACUGCUGUAGAUGCUUCAGAUUCCCACUGCUGUGAAAAGAUAGAUCGUCCGCACACGAAAGGUUCCGUCAUCACUCUGGCAAGAGCCUUUUGAAUCAUCAAGUGACAAUGAUUCCGAUUCUGACUAAUAUCCCGUUUACUGCAGAAAACGAGAGUGAGUGAACAAUAUUGGACAAAAUAUACAUGGAUAAUUGAUUGGAAAUAAAAAUAAGGGCUCCAAAAAUAAAAAUUACCUCUGAUAACUGGAAUGUGAGAAAUCUUUGGCCAUUAUGCGCCGUCCUUGGUCCAUCUUUCCUUGAGAUGGGGACACCUUUGAAUCUCUAGCUUAUGUAAUUUGGUUAGGCAUUGCAUAGCUUCGACCGUAGGCAGAUACAUCAGAUUCUCACACCAGGAAGUUUCCAACUCUGUAAGAGAUGUAAGGUUGCCCACACUGAUUCACUGCACAACAGAUCCCACACCCAUUUUUAACCCACCAAGUUAUGAACAUGGGAUGAAUGAGAGAGUUUGUAGCUACCUUAUCAUGGUGCCUUCAUGGAACCUGCAUUUAUGGAAUCUGAACAUCUGGAAAUCACUCUAGGUGAACUAUGGUAUGGUGAAAUCGUAACACAAGUUUCUUCAUUCGAGCCAGUUUCUUCAUUUGAGCCUUGAGUUCUUUUUGGAUGCCUAGACACCUUCAUUUCCAAGCAUUGUAUUAGUUGACAUGACACAACACAGAACCUGCACACAGUGAGAAGAAAC
Molecule: long non-coding RNA, 3569 nt
Filed under: Malus domestica (apple)
Lineage: Eukaryota; Viridiplantae; Streptophyta; Magnoliopsida; Rosales; Rosaceae
Description: long non-coding RNA (MDOM_LNC001379)
Source: RNAcentral